GUAUCUAAUACCGCAUAAUGUCGCAAGACCAAAGAGGGGGACCUUCGGGCCUCUUGCCAUCAGAUGUGCCCAUAUGGGAUUAUCUUGUGGGGGGGGUAACGGCUCACCUGGGCGACUAUCCCUAUCUGGUCUGAGAGGAUGACCACCCACUCUGGAUCUGACACACGGCCCACACUCCUACGGGAGGCAGCAGGGGGGAAUAUUGCACAGUGGGCGCAACCCUGAUGCACCCGUGCCGCGUGUAUGAAAAGGGUCUUCGGGUUGUAAAGUACUUUCAGCGGGGAAGAGGGGAGUAGAGUUAAUACCUUUGCUCAUUGACGUUACCCGCAAAAAAAGCACCGGCUAUCUCCGUGCCAGCACCCGCGGUAAUACGGGGGGUGCAAGCGUUAAUCGGAAUUACUGGGCGUAAAGCGCACGCGGGCGGUGUGUUAAGUCAUAUGUGAAAUCCCCGGGCUCACCCUGGGAACUGCAUCUGAUACUGGCGAGCUUGAGUCUCGUAGAGGGGGGUAAAAUUCCGGGUGUAGCGGAGAAAUGCGUAGAGAUCUGGAAGAAUACCGGUGGAGAACGCGGCCCCCUGGACAAACACUGACGCUCGUGUGCGAAAGCGUGGAGAGCAAACAAGAUUAUAUACUCUGGUAGUCCACGCUGUACACUAUGUCCACUUGGAGGUUGUGCUCUUGAAGAGUGUCUUCCAGAUCUCACGCGUUAA
RNAcentral lists this ribosomal RNA (709 nucleotides) under Escherichia coli. Its description in RNAcentral is "partial 16S ribosomal RNA". It matches the Rfam family "Bacterial small subunit ribosomal RNA", at positions 159 to 863 of the family's 1533-position model. The record is from RNAcentral. Lineage: Bacteria; Pseudomonadati; Pseudomonadota; Gammaproteobacteria; Enterobacterales; Enterobacteriaceae.